This is a long non-coding RNA of Xenia sp. Carnegie-2017, 626 nucleotides long. RefSeq lists it as uncharacterized. The record is from RefSeq and is a predicted model, not a curated record. NCBI's taxonomy places the organism in Eukaryota, Metazoa, Cnidaria, Anthozoa, Malacalcyonacea, Xeniidae. The transcript has 2 exons.
UAUAAAGUGGGACGAAAACUGAUUUAAUAAGUAUCAUUUCACAAUGUUUAAUACUCACAGCAAUAACGUUUUGGCGAAAGAAAAAAUAUCUCCUGGUGGUCUGAGCACUACACUACUAUUCACAAAAGCCACUGUCGAUGUUAUGCCUGAUUUUGUGGUCACUUAGGAUAUUUGAGUCCGAGAUGCAAUUUCUUAUGGCGGCAGAAAAAUAUUGAAAUCACACUGAGUUCAUUUGUAACAAAUUUCUGUAGACUCUGAAUGCAACUAAGUAACUUUGAGGUGUUGUCUUGAAAGCGCUGGCUGAACGAUGUUAUUUCAUAUCAUGAAAAGAAAAAUCACUUAUCACAAACUCAUCGUAAACAUAAGCAAAACCAAUAUUUACAUAUCAGGCUUCGGUCAUAGAAAAGAAGUUUUGAUUGUCUAUCCAUGAAAACGAAUCAUACGUUUUUAAUUCAUAUUUGACUAAACUUAUAUGACGCUUAUUUAGCUUUAGCUAUCAUCUGUUUAAUGUCUUUGAUCGCUACAUAUCCAAUAUCUUUAUAAAUCCGAAGUAAAGCAUUUAGCUUUCUUUUCGGUUACUACAAUUAGAAAUAGACAAUGUUUGAAAAUAUAUCAGUGUUAUCGCA